This 562-nucleotide ribosomal RNA is filed under the name uncultured fungus. Its description in RNAcentral is "eukaryotic LSU rRNA". The stretch from base 211 to 364 matches the Rfam family "5.8S ribosomal RNA". Lineage: Eukaryota; Fungi. The record is from RNAcentral.
AAGUCGUAACAAGGUCUCCGUUGGUGAACCAGCGGAGGGAUCAUUACCGAGUUUACAAACUCCCAAACCCUUUGUGAACCUUACCUAUCGUUGCUUCGGCGGGACCGCCCCGGCGCCCUCGGGCCCGGAACCAGGCGCCCGCCGGAGGCCCCAAACUCUUAUGUCUUUAGUGGUUUUCUCCUCUGAGUGACACAUAAACAAAUAAAUAAAAACUUUCAACAACGGAUCUCUUGGUUCUGGCAUCGAUGAAGAACGCAGCGAAAUGCGAUAAGUAAUGUGAAUUGCAGAAUUCAGUGAAUCAUCGAAUCUUUGAACGCACAUUGCGCCCCUUGGUAUUCCAUGGGGCAUGCCUGUUCGAGCGUCAUUUGUACCUUCAAGCUCUGCUUGGUGUUGGGUGUUUGUCUCGCCUUUGCGUGUAGACUCGCCUCAAAACGAUUGGCAGCCGGCGUAUUGAUUUCGGAGCGCAGUACAUCUCGCGCUUUGCACUCAUAACGACGACGUCCAAAAAGUACAUUUUUACACUCUUGACCUCGGAUCAGGUAGGGAUACCCGCUGAACUUAA